GAUGAACGCUCGCUGUGUGCCCAACACAUGCAUGUUGAACGGGAUGUAGCAAUACAUUCAGUAGCGAAUGGGUGAGUAACACGUACCUAACCUACCUUUAAGACUGGGAUAACUAUUGGAAACAAUAGCUAAUACCGGAUAUAGUUAUUUAUCGCAUGAUGAGUAAUAGAAAGGAGCUUCACAGCUUCACUUAAAAAUGGGGGUGCGGAACAUUAGUUAGUUGGUAGGGUAAUGGCCUACCAAGACGAUGAUGUUUAGCCGGGCCGAGAGGCUGUACGGCCACACUGGGACUGAGAUACGGCCCAGACUCCUACGGGAGGCAGCAGUAAGGAAUUUUCCACAAUGAGCGAAAGCUUGAUGGAGCGACACAGCGUGCAGGAUGAAGUUCUUCGGAAUGUAAACUGCUGUUAUAAGGGAAGAAAAAAUAGAAUAGGAAAUGAUUUUAUCUUGACGGUACCUUAUUAGAAAGCGACGGCAAACUAUGUGCCAGCAGCUGCGGUAAUACAUAGGUCGCAAGCGUUAUCCGGAAUUAUUGGGCGUAAAGCGUCCGUAGGUUUUUUGCUAAGUCUGGAGUUAAAUGCUGAAGCUCAACUUCAGUCCGCUUUGGAUACUGGCAAAAUAGAAUUAUAAAGAGGUUAGCGGAAUUCCUAGUGAAGCGGUGGAAUGCGUAGAUAUUAGGAAGAACACCAAUAGGCGAAGGCAGCUAACUGGUUAUAUAUUGACACUAAGGGACGAAAGCGUGGGGAGCAAACAGG
Molecule: ribosomal RNA, 755 nt
Filed under: uncultured Mycoplasma sp.
Lineage: Bacteria; Bacillati; Mycoplasmatota; Mollicutes; Mycoplasmatales; Mycoplasmataceae
Description: bacterial SSU rRNA
Rfam family: Bacterial small subunit ribosomal RNA
Source: RNAcentral